Molecule: ribosomal RNA, 433 nt
Filed under: uncultured bacterium
Lineage: Bacteria
Description: partial 16S ribosomal RNA
Rfam family: Bacterial small subunit ribosomal RNA
Source: RNAcentral
AACGAACGCUGGCGGCAUGCCUAACACAUGCAAGUCGAACGAUACCUUCGGGUCUAGUGGCGCACGGGUGCGUAACGCGUGGGAACCUUCCCUUAGGGUCGGAAUAACUCCCCGAAAGGGGUGCUAAUACCGGAUAAUUUCUUCGGACCAAAGAUUUAUCGCCUUUGGAUGGGCCCGCGUUGGAUUAGCUAGUUGGUAGGGUAAAAGCCUACCAAGGCGACGAUCCAUAGCUGGUCUGAGAGGAUGAUCAGACACACUGGGACUGAGACACGGCCCAGACUCCUACGGGAGGAAGCAGUGGGGAAUAUUGGACAAUGGGCGAAAGCCUGAUCCAGCAAUGCCGCGUGAGUGAUGAAGGACUUAGGGUUGUAAAGCUCUUUUAAACGGGAUGAUAAUGACAGUACCGGGAGAAUAAGCUCCGGCUAACUCCGUG